ACUCCUACGGGAGGCAGCAGUGAGGAAUAUUGCACAAUGGGCGCAAGCCUGAUGCAGCAACGCCGCGUGAGUGAUGAAGGCCUUCGGGUUGUAAAACUCUGUCCUAUGGGAAGAAUAAAAUGACGGUACCAUAGGAGGAAGCCCCGGCUAACUACGUGCCAGCAGCCGCGGUGAUACGUAGGGGGCAAGCGUUAUCCGGAAUCACUGGGCGUAAAGGGUGCGUAGGUGGCUUAUCAAGCCAGAGGUGAAAGGCAUUGGCUCAACCAAUGUAAGCCUUUGGAACUGAUUAGCUCGAGUGCAGGAGAGGUAAGUGGAAUUCCUAGUGUAGAGGUGAAAUUCGUAGAUAUUAGGAGGAACACCAGUGGCGAAGGCGACUUACUGGACUGUAACUGACACUGAGGCACGAAAGCGUGGGUAGCGAACAGGAUUAGAUACCCUGGUAGUC
Molecule: ribosomal RNA, 445 nt
Filed under: uncultured bacterium
Lineage: Bacteria
Description: bacterial SSU rRNA
Rfam family: Bacterial small subunit ribosomal RNA
Source: RNAcentral